This 432-nucleotide ribosomal RNA is filed under the name uncultured bacterium. RNAcentral's name for it is "partial 16S ribosomal RNA". It matches the Rfam family "Bacterial small subunit ribosomal RNA", at positions 29 to 507 of the family's 1533-position model. The record is from RNAcentral.
GCGAACGCUGGCGGCCGGCCUAACACAUGCCAGUCGCACGAACUCUUCGGAGUUAGUGGCGGACGGGUGAGUAACACGUGGGAACGUGCCUUUUGGUUCGGAAUAACUCAGGGAAACUUGUGCUAAUACCGAAUGUGCCCUUCGGGGGAAAGAUUUAUCGCCAUUAGAGCGGCCCGCGUCUGAUUAGCUAGUUGGUGAGGUAACGGCUCACCAAGGCGACGAUCAGUAGCUGGUCUGAGAGGAUGACCAGCCACACUGGGACUGAGACACGGCCCAGACUCCUACGGGAGGCAGCAGUGGGGAAUCUUGCGCAAUGGGCGAAAGCCUGACGCAGCCAUGCCGCGUGAAUGAUGAAGGUCUUAGGAUUGUAAAAUUCUUUCACCGGGGACGAUAAUGACGGUACCCGGAGAAGAAGCCCCGGCUAACUUCGUG